This 313-nucleotide long non-coding RNA is filed under the name Equus caballus (horse). RNAcentral's name for it is "lncRNA (ENSECAG00000057333.1)". The record is from RNAcentral. Lineage: Eukaryota; Metazoa; Chordata; Mammalia; Perissodactyla; Equidae.
GGAUUGCUUUGGAAACACAAAUAGGGUUGGUUUAGUGCUCUGCAAAUGUCCCAUUUUUUAAACAUUCUUUCUGGAAUAAUAUGGAAAGAAAUUAUACAUUAUACCAAGACAAGCUAUUUUAGAUUUCAACUAUAUUAUUUUUGGUUUUGAUUUUUAGGAUCAACUUCAGUACCUACAACAGUACCUUCUGUGCCCACUGCUCACCUGUGACCACCCAGCUGGAGACAACAGACUGCCACCCUGCUGUGUUCACAGAGACAGAAGACCUACCUGCUAUUUCCAUCAAUCGCUGUGCCGAGAGAGCAGUCUCGCG